Molecule: unclassified non-coding RNA, 2113 nt
Filed under: Leishmania donovani
Lineage: Eukaryota; Euglenozoa; Kinetoplastea; Trypanosomatida; Trypanosomatidae
Description: gene:LdHU3.30.3620(CDS-product:hypothetical_prote in_conserved)
Source: RNAcentral
CCGUUUACACACAACACCGACACGUGUGCACAGCGCACUUGUUGGAUUAUCUGUGGCCACGGCCCUUUUUGUUGCUUGCCGUAGUAGACGCAGAGUUGGCCGCGUAUGGGUCUUUUGAGGCAGGUGCUGGACCCGAACCGUCGGUGCGUCGAUCUAAGCGAUCAGCGCGGUGGCCUCACCGCCGGCGUCCUGGAGUCCCUGCGGACGUUCCUCCGCUACAACGAUCGCUACGUUCACCUCUGCGUAUCCGAUAACGUGCUCGGUAGCGCGGCGAUCGCGGGGCUCUGCGCGCUCAUUAAGCGACAUCCGCACCUGAUCGCUCUUGAGGCGCAGCACUGUGGUCUCCUGGACAAAGACUUUCGCUUCUACGUCGGGCCUGCCAUCUUGACCAUGAGGCACCUGACCUUUGUGGACUUGAGCCGCAACUGCGGACUGACGGACGUGAGUGCGGAGACGCUGGCCCGCAUUCUUGUCGAAACAGAUGUGGAGACGGUGCGGCUAUUCGGAACUUCAUUGACCGAAUGUGGGGGACGAGUAAUCGCGACGGCGGCGGCCAACACGACUACCCUUGUGAGCUGCGAGCUGCCCUUCACGGUCGGCAGUGCCGUCUUGGAAGACAUCGAGGUCUGCACGCGCCGCAACCGCGCUCAUCGCGCCAUACUCAACAACGCCUCGGCGCAUUACACGCGUCUUCAGGUGAGGCGAAGCCGAUUGCCUUGCCCGCCAGCGCUCAAGCACAUGGAGGCGAAUCCGAUGGUUGCGAUAGAUGAGCUGCUUUCGCUGGAGUCGAAGCCGGGUGCACCGCCGCGGUCACCAGUCAUCGAUGUUGUUCCAAAAGUAUGUUAUACUGAGACAGACCGGCGAUGGCGUGCCUGCAUUCACAAAGGGCGGAAGAACGCACUGAUGCAUACGGAGACGCUGCUACCACCGUCGUUGUCGUCCUCAGUGCCAUCAGCUCAGGUUCCCUCCUCUUUUGCAGCCGCCUCUGUUGCCAACACCAAGGUUGCUUCGACGGCGGUGACGCGGAGAGGUAAGGUCACGCCCGACUCGCUGGACGAGGUGACGAUGUGGGACUGGGCAGACCCCGCCAUGUCCACUACUCUUCACUGCCUUUACCUUCUCGAUCGUCAGGCCCAGCUCGCGCCGAACCGGGCCAACUCAGUGGUGGCUGUACCGAACAUAAAUGGACUCUCGCAUACAGGGCCGUCAAAAAAGGCGACGGGCGGCACCGUGCGCCUGCCCUACCUCCGAGUAGGGAAACGGGCGGCGGCGGGGUGAUCGAGCACGCGAUGGAAGUCUAUAAUAAUUUUUGGCGAGGCGUAGUAAGCCAUGCCAUUGUUUUUACACCACCCAAACAGCGGGCGCGAGCAAAGGAGUGGAAGAGGAAUGCAUAAGGCAUGUCACCAGCUCUGGCUCUCACCUUUUUCUUUUGGUGCGGAAGGUGGGUGGUGGCCAUCUUCCUCAGUCUCCUUUCCCCCAAUGACACUCGCACUUUUUUUUUGAUCUCUCUCUCACACAAACACACGCAUAUGUACAUACGACACCCUUGAAAUACACACAAAAAAGAACACCUGGUGUGCAAGGCAUCAAUGCAGAUGACGUCUGCUUCUACCUUCGUCUUCAAGGUUGCUGAAGGCUUCAUGUCUAGUGCUAAUACCACCGUUGAAUGGAUAUAGAUGUACAUGGAUACACAUAUAUAUAUAUAUAUAUAUGCCGAUAUACUUCUGUAUGAAUCCUGUUACGUCUUUUUUUUCUAGGCGUGCAUACAUCUAUAAAUGUGCUAAGCACAAGUGACGCGUCCUCUUUCCUUUCCUUUUUUUUGGGGAAGGAGGCGGGCUCGUCUCGUCUGCACACAUCCCAUGCUCGCCAAGGCGUCGCCAACAGGCGUUUUUUUUUGUGCAAAUCUUUGGUGGCUGUGAGAGCUGUCGCAUCCCUCUCUAUCCCUCUGUGUGUGCGCAUGUGUGUGUGUGUGUGCGUGCGUGCCUAGGAGUGCAUGUGUUCCCCGUUACUAAUGUGCGGAAAACAAAACAACGAAUGGGCUUUCUUUCAGUUCCUUGUCCCUUUCUGCUCUUUGCGCUUGUCACUGUCAUGCUGUUGUGCUGUUGCUUUACUG